GAGUGAACGCUGGCGGUAGGCCUAACACAUGCAAGUCGAACGGCAGCACAGGAGAGCUUGCUCUCUGGGUGGCGAGUGGCGGACGGGUGAGGAAUACAUCGGAAUYUACCUUUUYGUGGGGGAUAACGUAGGGAAACUUACGCUAAUACCGCAUACGACCUUCGGGUGAAAGCAGGGGACCUUCGGGCCUUGCGCGGAUAGAUGAGCCGAUGUCGGAUUAGCUAGUUGGCGGGGUAAAGGCCCMCCAAGGCGACGAUCCGUAGCUGGUCUGAGAGGAUGAUCAGCCACACUGGAACUGAGACACGGUCCAGACUCCUACGGGAGGCAGCAGUGGGGAAUAUUGGACAAUGGGCGCAAGCCUGAUCCAGCCAUACCGCGUGGGUGAAGAAGGCCUUCGGGUUGUAAAGCCCUUUUGUUGGGAAAGAAAAGCAGUCGGCUAAUACCCG
This 446-nucleotide ribosomal RNA is filed under the name Stenotrophomonas sp. RNAcentral's name for it is "bacterial SSU rRNA". The record is from RNAcentral. Lineage: Bacteria; Pseudomonadati; Pseudomonadota; Gammaproteobacteria; Lysobacterales; Lysobacteraceae.